RNAcentral lists this ribosomal RNA (293 nucleotides) under uncultured bacterium. Its description in RNAcentral is "partial 16S ribosomal RNA". It matches the Rfam family "Archaeal small subunit ribosomal RNA", at positions 455 to 747 of the family's 1478-position model. The record is from RNAcentral.
GUGCCAGCCGCCGCGGUAAUACCGGCAGCCCGAGUGAUGACCGAUCUUAUUGGGCCUAAAGCGUCCGUAGCUGGCUGCGCAAGUCCGUCGGGAAAUCCACUCGCCCAACGAGUGGGCGUCCGACGGAAACUGCACAGCUUGGGGCCGAGAGACGCGACGGGUACGUCCGGGGUAGGAGUGAAAUCCCGUAAUCCUGGACGGACCACCGAUGGCGAAAGCACUUCGAGAAAACGGAUCCGACAGUGAGGGACGAAAGCCAGGGUCUCCAACCGGAUUAGAAACCCCGGUAGUCC